GACAGAGGGGGCAAGCGUUGCUCGGAAUCACUGGGCGUAAAGAGCGCGCAGGCGGUCGGAUAAGUCGAAUGUGAAAGCCCCCGGCUCAACUGGGGAGGGUCAUUCGAUACUGUUCGACUCGAAGGCAGGAGAGGGAAGUGGAAUUCCCGGUGUAGUGGUGAAAUGCGUAGAUAUCGGGAGGAACACCAGUGGCGAAGGCGACUUCCUGGCCUGUUCUUGACGCUGAGGCGCGAAAGCUAGGGGAGCAAACGGG
This 253-nucleotide ribosomal RNA is filed under the name uncultured bacterium. Its description in RNAcentral is "partial 16S ribosomal RNA". It matches the Rfam family "Bacterial small subunit ribosomal RNA", at positions 524 to 776 of the family's 1533-position model. The record is from RNAcentral.